Camellia sinensis is the source of this 445-nucleotide non-coding RNA. The record is from RefSeq and is a predicted model, not a curated record. Lineage: Eukaryota; Viridiplantae; Streptophyta; Magnoliopsida; Ericales; Theaceae.
UAACAACAAAAAAAUAAAUAAUAAAAAAAACAAAAAACAAAUAUCUAGAUAUUUAUUUAGUUCCCUUAGCAAUUAAGCUACCUUAUACUCUAUAAAUUGAGGGCUUGUCCAAAUCCACUCCCACGUUUUUAAAAAGCCCAAGGAGAGGGUAAGAGAGGGAGAGUUGGCUCAAGGGAAGUAGAGAAGUAAGAAGAAAAAAAGAAGAGAAAAAGAAGGAAUUCUUGAAGGUGAUGAAGCAGUUUACAAUGGUGAAGGUUAUUUCGAAGGCAAACGAGAUGAAGUGUUGGAGCUGUGGUUCAUUUGAAGACUUAGACUAGUUUUUUUUUUUCUUUUGACUUUUGGUUUGGCAAUGUUUUGGUAAUCCUGUAAUGGAACAUAAACGAAUUAUCUGUGAUAUUAACUCUGGUUAUAUAUGUAUAUUAAGAUGUUCUGGUCAUCUAUUCUA